RNAcentral lists this ribosomal RNA (253 nucleotides) under uncultured bacterium. RNAcentral's name for it is "partial 16S ribosomal RNA". It matches the Rfam family "Bacterial small subunit ribosomal RNA", at positions 524 to 776 of the family's 1533-position model. The record is from RNAcentral.
UACGAAGGGUGCAAGCGUUACUCGGAAUUACUGGGCGUAAAGGGCGCGUAGGCGGUUUGCAUAGUCAGACGUGAAAUUCCUGGGCUUAACCUGGGGGCUGCGUUUGAUACAUGCAGGCUUGAGUUCGGAAGAGGGUCGUGGAAUUCCCAGUGUAGAGGUGAAAUUCGUAGAUAUUGGGAAGAACACCGGUGGCGAAGGCGGCGACCUGGUCCGAUACUGACGCUGAGGCGCGAAAGCGUGGGGAGCAAACAGG